UACUUGAUUUUUUGGCGUGCUUUAACCUAGAAUAGCUGUCACUGUCAAAAUUUUGACUACAUAAAUAUAUAUGAGAAAUUAAUUAGUUGUACACCCGAAUUGUUUAGUUAAAAUAUUUAAAUAUUUCAGUUGAAAUAAAACUGAUAGAAGUUGAAGGCGAAUUGGUAAUUAGGAAAAUUUCCCAGUGAAGACUCCUGCAUCAGGGCUUCUAAAAACUUCCAAAAACCAAUAAAAUUCCUCACUCAAAAUGUUUGUGAGUUUGUGAGCGAUAGAGUCAGAUAGCUAAUGGAAGGCGAGAGGCCGACGAAGAAAUGAAGGCAAAAUUAAGAAAUAAACGAAUUGUUUUAUAAAACUAAUAGAAAAAGUGAAGUAACAAGUUUAGAUGAGCGAAAGUGUGAUGAAAGUAUCGUCAGCAAAGUGCAGCAAGGCAGAAAGGCGGAAAGGAGGGAACAUGAAGUGGGCAGGAAUUUACUGGAAAAUUAUGCGAGUGCAGAACGGAGAAGUGUGGAAAAAUUGCGAACCAAACAGCAAAAAAACAAAAACACAUAGCAACGGAAAGCGACGAGGUCAGCAAGAAGUUGUGCGAAAUGUGAAAUAUACCAUAAAACAAUUAAAGUGCCAGUGAGAAGAGCAUUGAACAAGCGCUGACAACCUGAGUGGGUGGACAAAAGUAAAGUCGUGGGUACGAGUAAGUAGAAAUUGCGAAGGGUGAAAACAAUUUGGGAAGCGUGAAGAGCAUGGAGUGGCCGUGCACAAGUUUGUUGGUAAGAGUGUGCACAAAAUGGUCUAGUUCAAAUGACAGUUAGUAUCUCAAGCUUUCCAAUUAUAAAUAUUAUUUUUCUCAAUUCUGUUUUGGCUGUUUGUGAUGUUAUUGAAAAAUUUCAUAAGGUUAUGUCAACUUUGGGACAAUAAAAGAAAA
Anastrepha ludens (Mexican fruit fly) is the source of this 919-nucleotide long non-coding RNA. RefSeq lists it as uncharacterized. The record is from RefSeq and is a predicted model, not a curated record. The transcript is spliced from 3 exons. Lineage: Eukaryota; Metazoa; Arthropoda; Insecta; Diptera; Tephritidae.